GACGAACGCUGGCGGCGUGCUUAACACAUGCAAGUCGAACGGAAAGGCCCUGCUUUUGUGGGGUGCUCGAGUGGCGAACGGGUGAGUAACACGUGAGUAACCUGCCCUUGACUUUGGGAUAACUUCAGGAAACUGGGGCUAAUACCGGAUAGGAGCUCCUGCUGCAUGGUGGGGGUUGGAAAGUUUCGGCGGUUGGGGAUGGACUCGCGGCUUAUCAGCUUGUUGGUGGGGUAGUGGCUUACCAAGGCUUUGACGGGUAGCCGGCCUGAGAGGGUGACCGGCCACAUUGGGACUGAGAUACGGCCCAGACUCCUACGGGAGGCAGCAGUGGGAAAUAUUGCACAAUGGGCGGAAGCCUGAUGCAGCAACGCCGCGUGCGGGAUAACGGCCGUCGGGUUGUAAACCGCUUUCGCCUGUGACGAAGCGUGAGUGACGGUAAUGGAUAAAGAAGCACCGGCUAACUACGUG
Molecule: ribosomal RNA, 468 nt
Filed under: uncultured bacterium
Lineage: Bacteria
Description: partial 16S ribosomal RNA
Rfam family: Bacterial small subunit ribosomal RNA
Source: RNAcentral